RNAcentral lists this ribosomal RNA (468 nucleotides) under uncultured bacterium. Its description in RNAcentral is "partial 16S ribosomal RNA". It matches the Rfam family "Bacterial small subunit ribosomal RNA", at positions 28 to 507 of the family's 1533-position model. The record is from RNAcentral.
GACGAACGCUGGCGGCGUGCUUAACACAUGCAAGUCGAACGGAAAGGCCUUGCUUUUGUGGGGUGCUCGAGUGGCGAACGGGUGAGUAACACGUGAGUAACCUGCCCUGGACUUUGGGAUAACUUCAGGAAACUGGGGCUAAUACCGGAUAGGAGCUCCUGCUGCAUGGGGGGGGUUGGAAAGUUUCGGCGGUUGGGGAUGGACUCGCGGGUUAUCAGCUUGUUGGUGGGGUAGUGGCUUACCAAGGCUUUGACGGGUAGCCGGCCUGAGAGGGUGACAGGCCACAUUGGGACUGAGAUACGGCCCAGAGUCCUACGGGAGGCAGCAGUGGGGAAUAUUGCACAAUGGGCGGAAGCCUGAUGCAGCAACGCCGCGUGCGGGAUGACGGCCUUCGGGUUGUAAACCGCUUUCGCCUGUGACGAAGCGUGAGUGACGGUAAUGGGUAAAGAAGCACCGGCUAACUACGUG